Molecule: ribosomal RNA, 443 nt
Filed under: uncultured bacterium
Lineage: Bacteria
Description: partial 16S ribosomal RNA
Rfam family: Bacterial small subunit ribosomal RNA
Source: RNAcentral
CCUACGGGCGGCAGCAGUGGGGAAUAUUGGGCAAUGGGCGCAAGCCUGACCCAGCAACGCCGCGUGAAGGAAGAAGGCUUUCGGGUUGUAAACUUCUUUUGUCAGGGACGUAGCGAGUGACGGUACCUGACUAAUAAGCCACGGCUAACUACGUGCCAGCAGCCGCGGUAAUACGGAGGUGGCAAGCGUUAUCCGGAUUUAUUGGGUGUAAAGGGCGUGUAGGCGGGAAUGCAAGUCAGAUGUGAAAACUAUGGGCUCAACCCAUAGCCUGCAUUUGAAACUGUAUUUCUUGAGUGCUGGAGAGGCAAUCGGAAUUCCGGGUGUAGCGGUGAAAUGCGUAGAUAUACGGAGGAACACCAGUGGCGAAGGCGGAUUGCUAGACAGUAACUGACGCUGAGGCGCGAAAGCGUGGGGAGCAAACAGGAUUAGAUACCCUAGUAGUC